Molecule: ribosomal RNA, 420 nt
Filed under: uncultured archaeon
Lineage: Archaea
Description: partial 16S ribosomal RNA
Rfam family: Archaeal small subunit ribosomal RNA
Source: RNAcentral
CUACGGGUUGCAGCAGCUGGGAAUCUUCUGCAAUACACGAAAGUGUGACAGAGCGAACCAGAGUGCUCCUCAUUGAGGAGCUUUUGCUAAAUGUAAAAAGUUUGGCGAAUAAGGACUGGGCAAGACCGGUGCCAGCCGCCGCGGUAAUACCGGCGGUCCAAGUCGCAGCCAUCAUUAUUGGGUCUAAAACAUCCGUAGCUUGUUCUGCAAGUUCCUUGUGAAAUCCUGUCUCUUAAGGGCAGGGCGCGCAGGGAAUACUGCUGGGCUAGAGACUGGAAGACGUAAGAAGUACGUUUGAAGUAGCGGUUAAAUGCGUUAAUCUUAGACGGACUCACAACAGCGAAGGCAUCUUACGAGGACAGUUCUGACAGUGAGGGAUGAAGGCCAGGGUCGCGAAACGGAUUAGAUACCCCAGUAGUC